This 474-nucleotide long non-coding RNA is filed under the name Cricetulus griseus (Chinese hamster). RNAcentral's name for it is "lncRNA (ENSCGRG00015043166.1)". Lineage: Eukaryota; Metazoa; Chordata; Mammalia; Rodentia; Cricetidae. The record is from RNAcentral.
AGGGUUCCCAAACACUUCAGAAGUAUGCAUAAUGUGGCAUUUAAAAUGUCUACUAAAAAAGCUUUUCAUGAUAAGGACGUAUAACAGCUCCUGGCAGAAUCACUGAUCUCUCCCAAAGAAGAUGGAUGGGCACAGAACUUCUACCUGGAUCUGCUUUAAAUGUGGCAAAGCUGGCCACUGGGCAAAGAGCUGCCUUUCACCUUGACUGCUGCCAAGACCCUGUUCAGACUGUGGACAAGCAUGACAUUGGGAAGCUGAUUUACCCACUUUGCCUAGACAAGAUAGCCCCACCACUCUAUAGGAAAGUCUGUCAGAUCUUCUGGAUCUGGCAGCUGAAGACUGAUACUGCCUUGGGACUUCUGUCCCCAAUGACCACAGAAGAACCUAGGGUGAAUGUCCAGGAAGCUGCUGCGGGUGUCAAGAAAGGAAACUUUGGAUGAACAACCCACGUGGAGUUUAUUUACAGGAAGAGGG